This 395-nucleotide ribosomal RNA is filed under the name uncultured bacterium. Its description in RNAcentral is "bacterial SSU rRNA". It matches the Rfam family "Bacterial small subunit ribosomal RNA", at positions 28 to 419 of the family's 1533-position model. The record is from RNAcentral.
GAUGAACGCUGGCGGCGUGCAUAACACAUUCAAGUCGAACGGUGACGAGGACUUCGGUCCUCUGAUCAGUGGCGGACGGGUGAGUAACGCGUGAGCAACCUGCCUUUCAAAGCGGGAUAACGACUGGAAACGGUCGCUAAUACCGCAUAACGUAUACGGGGCCGCAUGGUCUGUAUACCAAAGGGAAACCUGAUGAAAGAUGGGCUCGCGUCUGAUUAGAUAGUUGGUGGGGUAACGGCUCACCAAGUCGACGAUCAGUAGCCGGACUGAGAGGUCGAACGGCCACAUUGGAACUGAGAUACGGGUCCAGACUCCUACGGGAGGCAGCAGUGGGGAAUAUUGGGCAAUGGGCGAAAGCCUGACCCAGCGACGCCGCGUGAAGGAUGAAGGUCUUC